CCCUUAGAUGUUCUGGGCCGCACACGCGCUACACUGAAGGAGGCAGCGUGUACUCCUGGAUCGAAAGAUUUGGGUAACCCGCGAAUCUCCUUCGUGCUAGGGAUUGAGGUUUGCAAUUAUCCUUCAUGAACGAGGAAUUCCCAGUAAGUGCAAGUCAUAAGAUUGCGCUGACUACGUCCCUGCCCUUUGUACACACCGCCCGUCGCUACUACCGAUUGAAUGAUUUAGUGAGGACUUCGGACUGGGACCGAUGCGGCUUUCGGGCUGCGUCGGUAUUCUGGAAAGAUGUCCAAACUGUAUCAUUUAGAGGAAGUAAAAGUCGUAACA
RNAcentral lists this ribosomal RNA (327 nucleotides) under uncultured eukaryote. RNAcentral describes it as "partial 18S ribosomal RNA". It matches the Rfam family "Eukaryotic small subunit ribosomal RNA", at positions 1470 to 1796 of the family's 1831-position model. The record is from RNAcentral.